Molecule: ribosomal RNA, 478 nt
Filed under: uncultured bacterium
Lineage: Bacteria
Description: partial 16S ribosomal RNA
Rfam family: Bacterial small subunit ribosomal RNA
Source: RNAcentral
GAUGGACGCUGGCGGCGUGCUUAACACAUGCAAGUCGAACGGGAAACCUUUUAUUGCAGCUUCGGCAGAUUUAGCUGGUUUCUAGUGGCGGACGGGUGAGUAACGCGUGGGUAACCUGCCUUAUACAGGGGGAUAACAGUCAGAAAUGGCUGCUAAUACCGCAUAAGCGCACAGAGCUGCAUGGCUCAGUGUGAAAAACUCCGGUGGUAUAAGAUGGACCCGCGUUGGAUUAGCUGGUUGGUGGGGUAACGGCCCACCAAGGCGACGAUCCAUAGCCGGCCUGAGAGGGUGAACGGCCACAUUGGGACUGAGACACGGCCCAGACUCCUACGGGAGGCAGCAGUGGGGAAUAUUGCACAAUGGGGGAAACCCUGAUGCAGCGACGCCGCGUGAAGGAAGAAGUAUCUCGGUAUGUAAACUUCUAUCAGCAGGGAAGAUAAUGACGGUACCUGACGAAGAAGCCCCGGCUAACUACGUG